GCUAAUGUAGCUCAGCCGGUAGAGCAGUUGAUUCGUAAUCAACAGGUCGUGGGUUCGAGUCCCACCAUUAGCUCCA
This 76-nucleotide transfer RNA is filed under the name Bacillota bacterium. RNAcentral describes it as "tRNA-Thr". It matches the Rfam family "tRNA". Rfam says of the family: Transfer RNA (tRNA) molecules are approximately 80 nucleotides in length. Lineage: Bacteria; Bacillati; Bacillota. RNAcentral also lists the same sequence under 1 other name. The record is from RNAcentral.